RNAcentral lists this signal recognition particle RNA (99 nucleotides) under Streptococcus azizii. Its description in RNAcentral is "signal recognition particle sRNA small type". The stretch from base 7 to 92 matches the Rfam family "Bacterial small signal recognition particle RNA". Rfam says of the family: The signal recognition particle (SRP) is a universally conserved ribonucleoprotein involved in the co-translational targeting of proteins to membranes. RNAcentral also lists the same sequence under 2 other names. The record is from RNAcentral. Lineage: Bacteria; Bacillati; Bacillota; Bacilli; Lactobacillales; Streptococcaceae.
UAAUGAUAGGUGGAGCAACAUCUGUGCGUGAAGCGGGUCAGGGGAGGAAUCCAGCAGCCCUAAGCGAUGUCGGGUGUGUGCUCUUUUUUGAUACAACCA